This 244-nucleotide ribosomal RNA is filed under the name uncultured bacterium. Its description in RNAcentral is "partial small subunit ribosomal RNA". It matches the Rfam family "Bacterial small subunit ribosomal RNA", at positions 26 to 285 of the family's 1533-position model. The record is from RNAcentral.
AGAAUCAACGCUGGCGGCGUGCCUAACACAUGCAAGUCGCACGAGAAAGUGGAGCAAUCCAUGAGUAAAGUGGCGCACGGGUGAGUAACACGUGAAUAAUCUACCUCCGAGUGGGGAAUAACUGAGAGAAAUCUUAGCUAAUACCGCAUAAUACCCACGGGUCAAAGCAGCAAUGCGCUUGGAGAGGAGUUCGCGGCCGAUUAGUUAGUUGGCGGGGUAAUGGCCCACAAGACGAUGAUCGGUA